This is a long non-coding RNA of Penaeus indicus, 324 nucleotides long. RefSeq lists it as uncharacterized. Lineage: Eukaryota; Metazoa; Arthropoda; Malacostraca; Decapoda; Penaeidae. The transcript has 3 exons. The record is from RefSeq and is a predicted model, not a curated record.
CCGGCAAACAAACCUCUGUCAGUAAUCGGCCCUGUUGUUAAUGAGACUUUUGUGACAGAGAGUCGAGGUUUUCUUCCAUCAAAGGAGAAGUCCUGAAUUUCCAGCAUGAACAGGCAGGAAUAUUCAACAGGAUCUCUCCAUGCAUCAAGAAUACUGGGGGGACUUGCAUCACUUCGCAGAUUAGAAGUCCUAUGUGAUGGCAAUGUAAAACUCUUAGAUGGCAGUGUCAAAGUUAGUCGUGCAUUACUUGCAGCUGGUUGUCCCUAUUUCAGAGUUUUAUAUGAGUUUGAAGAGGAUGCACAGCAAGGUUUACAUCGCACUGCA